Molecule: long non-coding RNA, 3782 nt
Filed under: Hordeum vulgare
Lineage: Eukaryota; Viridiplantae; Streptophyta; Magnoliopsida; Poales; Poaceae
Description: long non-coding RNA (HVUL_LNC000637)
Source: RNAcentral
UACAUAGUAGGGGUCUCACGACCCAUCAUAACAGUCAUUCAAGUUACAAGCCAGCGGAAGUAGAUAAACUGUCUGAGUACAGAGAGAUGAAAUUAAAAGGCACAUGGCCUGACUAUACUACAGACCCACCCUAGGGACAGAUCAUAGUUGGGAUACCAGCUACUCGUCGUCGUCGAUGUCUAGGAAGAACCCUCCAUUAGGGUCAUUAACAACCUCUGCAACAAAUAUUAAGCAAACAUGAGUACGGAGGUACUCUGCAAGACUUUAGGAUAACUAUCUACUCAUGCAAUGUAUCAAUAAGGAAUUGUGGGGUUUCAUGCGGAAAGCCAACAUUUGACUCGUGGCUAGACAACUUGCAAUUUUAAAUAAUUUUGACAACUUGAUUUCUCGCACACGAGUCCACUAACACCAUAACAAUACUCCAUCAUGGAAUCAUUCCGUCUCCAUACGGAAAUGCCGUCCAUGACACUCACGCUUAUCUUGACAAUUUUAUGAGUAGCCAUGGAAGUUAUCUAUGAACAACAUAUGUCUCCAAGUAGUCCAUAUCCGCGGACGCGGCUAUUCGAAUAGAUCAUAACCCUGCAGGGGUGUACUUCUUCACACACGCUCUCGCCACUUAUUGCCAUGUGCACGUCAUGCACCUCGGCAACCUUCAAGCGGAAGCCCAGCGAGGGAGUCGACCACGACCGUUAACCACACUAAUACUUAGUCCAGGUCUAUCGCCUAUCUGAGGGUAACCCGCACGGAAGUCUGGACGAGGUUUUCGCCACGGCCCCAAACGAUGUGCGCAGGGUUCCCAAGCCCACCAUUCGGGUGCCACUUGGUACACCGUGCCACUGCCUACCGCAUCACAGUCCACCUCUCAGGUCAGCGCUAUGCACGGCCUCCAGCAUGACUAUAAACACCAGAAACUACUUGCAACUCCUGGACCGAGUACUAAGCGAUUAAUAAGUCGAGAGGGUCAAUUAAGUAUCCCAACGUGUGGUAGUAUCUUGUCUUGGAUUACAUACACGGAACUCAGUUCCUAAGGACGGUUCCAAUGGAACAACCCACCAUGUACUCCUACAUAGCCUUUCACCGGUACCUUUACCCAAUCAGGUUCAACACACAACCUUUACUUAUUGAACACAUUCUCACAAUUCUGUUCAUCUCCCAGAUGACAGACCAUACACAACUCUAAGCAUAGCAUGCAUAGCAGGAUAAGGCACAUCAUGGCUCAAGCAACUACCAGGUAUGCUAGGUUGCAAGGUUCAGCUAUUUACUGUGACAAAGACAGGUCAUGCAAAGGAAGUGGGUUCAACUAACGUGGCAAAAUCAUUUGAUCCUAAUGCAAUAAGUAAGUGCAGGAGCGAGAACAUGGGAUUUAUCGGGAUGAUCAAAAUGGUUUCUUGCCUUGUUGCUCACAGGAGGGACAAUAUCCGUCAGUCGGAUAUUCAGUGGAAUCCGGAGGAGCGGAGCCUACCGAUAGAAAUGACAUCAAUCAAUAACAAUCAUAUGCAAGAAAAUGAUGCAUGAGCAUGGCAUGAAGAUGCAUAGUGGUAUGCUAAUGUAGCUAUCAUUUAUUUAGUUUCAAGUUCAUUUGAAUCAGGUUCAAAUAUCACUUCAAACGAGGUAUUCUCGAAUACUAUUUUAAUUGAUUCGACCUGAUGCUCAGAUCAACUUGUUUUUAACAUGCAUGGAAAUGAUAUGUUAAGUUGCUGGUUGUGAUUGGUCAAGGUUUGAUCAUAGCAUUUGUAAUGGAAUUCCAAUGAUUUUCAAAUUCCAUCUCCAUAGCAUUUAUAAAAUUUAACUUAUUCAUUAUUCUACAUGUUUGGUCCAGUAACAUUUUCAAACAUGUUUGAAAAUGACAUAUUCAGAUUCCUUGGAUUUUUCUGAUACUUUUUCAUAUAUAAAUUAUUUUCAUUGGAGUUACAGAUUAAUUUCUAUGAUUUUUAGAAGUUUUGGCAUUUUUCUGGAAUUCUUUUAAAUCAGAAAUCCACUUAUUGCGUGAGCAUGGCAUCAGCAGGGCCAACUGGCCGUUGAAAGUCAAACCUGACCAGUGGGACCCACUGGUUAGUGACUUUGGUCAGUUUUAGAUUAGCUUGAAACUUAAUUAGUUAAUUAACAGCACUGGACCCACAUGUCAGUGACUUAUUAGUUUAGUUGAUUUUAUUUUUAUUAAUCCGAAACAUCCAGAGGCUGGCCCCACGCCUCAGUGGCUCAGGCCAGCUGAGAUCCAUCGGUGGCGAGGUCGUCCUAGCCGGCAGUGAGCCUCCGGCGACACCAGAGACGGCGGAGGGCAUCGGAAACUCGUCUCCAACGACCAAACGCACGGCGGGGACCACAGGGAGAUCGUCCACUCGACGGCGCGCAAGAUGGGGCAAACCCCAAGGGCUAGGGUGGCCGAAAUCGACGCCGGCGACGAUCUCGGCGGCGACCAAAGCUUGGCCAUCGUCGAGGUCAUCGGAAACAGGGUCAAAUCACGCGAGGCUAGGCUCCUAAAGCAUCUACGCGACGGCCUGAAGCUGCUGGUGGCCUCAGAUGGACCAACCCUUCACCGGAGGGCUACCAGCGAUGAGCUGCAGCGGCAGUCCUCGUUGGGCUCCGGUGGAACUAGGCCUAGAGGAAGAGAUCGACGGGGAAAACUUGGGGGAAAGCUGCGCAAGCUCACGGGGAGUGCAGUGGUGGUGCUAGCUUUCUCGAGGAGGCACUGUAGGCGACGAAUCGAUCGGAGCUCGCCGGCGGCCGAAGCUUGAAGACGACGGUGUCGUGGGCGUUGCAGGGCUCGGGGGACCUUCAGCUUCUGCAGUAAGGACCAGCUCGUCGAGGCAGAGCGAAUGGGGCACUCGGGGAAGAGAACUAGUGGCCAGAGGCACGGGCAGCUCGAGCUUGAGCUCCUGUCAAUGGCGGCAGUAGGAGACGAAGGAACCGAGAGGAGAGGGGGAAUGGAGCACUGGAAUGGAUAGGCCAGAGCUCGGGGAGGUUAUCCCUAUUGUCGCGCUGUCCUGGGGAGCACCGGAGUGUGCCACGGCGAAGGAGGAGGUGGAGGAGACGCCGUGGGCAUUCGCUCCUCUGCCAGAAGGCAGGAGGAAGAAGACGCCUCUGCCCCUGAUGGGCUGGGCCUCCUCAGGGCGACAGGUAAGCUUCUUUCCAUUUUCUUCUGUUUUGUUUCUGUUUUGCUAACUAUUUGAUUUGUUAUUUAUUUCAGCUCCAAAAUAGUUUACAAAAAAUAUUUUGAACACACCAGAAUAUUUGUUGGAAUAUAUCCAACCAUUCCUGAAGUUUUCAACAUUUUUGAAAACUUAAAGUUUUUUUAAUUCAAAUUUAAACUUGAAUCCAAUAGCUUUUUGCAUUUAAAUAAAAUGCCAAAAGUGUUAUGAAAAUAGUUCUCUUCACUGCUUAUUUGCUUCCAUGAAUUAUCAGAAAAGUUGAACUUUUCUUGAGGCCAUUUUGGGUUCAUUGAUUUGAACAAGUUUAGGAUUUCUUUGAAUUUGAGAAGUGGCUAGGGUUUUUGAGUUUUGCUUCACCACUUGCUUUGAUCUUGUUGAAAUUUUCUUGGAUGCAAUGCAAAGAAUAUAUGAGCACAAUGCUAUACUUGAUUAGGGUUUCAGGUAUGUGACAGAUACCUUACUGUUAAGAGGGAAUCCAUAUUGGAAGUCUAUGGGUGAAUCAAUUCUUCUCACACACUUUUUCAGCCGUCUUGUUCCAUCGCAUCAAUGAAAGAGGCCCCUCCUUUCUAACUCACCGGUUGUACCGCUGCCUAGGGCGGUUAUACCACUCAACCCCUGGGCGGUUGAACCGGC